CGUUUAGGGGUAAACCUGAGAAACCCGAAAGGUCGAAGGGAGAAAUUCAAUGCGUUUUUUCAUAGUUGACAGCUUAUUGAGAUGAUUGAGACGAGAUUUGAUGUUGAAUUGAUUGAAUGGCUUUAAAACCCAGUCAUGAUAUGAGACGACAAAAUUUUGCUCCAUCUUUUUGCUGUUUGUACUGAUUAUGAACGUGUGCACUUUUCUCCUGGUAGGACGUCGCGAUCCGUUGAGUGUUGGUUUACGGAUACGUGGUGGAGCCCGUUUUUAUAUGAAAUUUUUAAUUUUAUAUCAUAAUCGGACCCAUGUAUAUACCUAACCAACUUGCUCGACGGUAUCAUGAAAAAUAGGUUUCAAGCCGCUAAUAUAAUAAAAUAGCGUUUGGGAAAUAACAAGCCUCUCCGUUAUGUGUUUUGAAUAAUUGGACAUAUGUGCCGUAUUUGAUCACUAACAGCUGUUGGUUAUUUUAUUCUCAAACAGACUUGAUUAAACCGUAUCAGCGACGCUAUAGUUUUGGGUAAUUUCAGGGCCCGUCUUGAAACACGGACCAAGGAGUCUAGCAUAUGUGCAAGUCAUUGAGAUUUAAUAAGCUCAAAGGCGAAAUGAAAGUAAAGAUCUUUCUUUUGUAAAGAUUUAGGGAAGACAAGUUUAUUAUUAUAUUAGACUUUGCAUUCCCGGGACGUUUCAAUGUGAAA
Molecule: ribosomal RNA, 695 nt
Filed under: Halystus bimaculatus
Lineage: Eukaryota; Metazoa; Arthropoda; Insecta; Coleoptera; Curculionidae
Description: eukaryotic LSU rRNA
Rfam family: Eukaryotic large subunit ribosomal RNA
Source: RNAcentral